This 253-nucleotide ribosomal RNA is filed under the name uncultured bacterium. RNAcentral's name for it is "partial 16S ribosomal RNA". It matches the Rfam family "Bacterial small subunit ribosomal RNA", at positions 524 to 776 of the family's 1533-position model. The record is from RNAcentral.
UACGUAGGGUGCGAGCGUUGUCCGGAAUUAUUGGGCGUAAAGGGCUUGUAGGUGGCUCGUUGCGUCGGGAGUGAAAACCUGCGGCUUAACCGCAGGCCUGCUUCCGAUACGGGCGAGCUAGAGUUCGGCAGGGGAGACUGGAAUUCCUGGUGUAGCGGUGGAAUGCGCAGAUAUCAGGAGGAACACCGGUGGCGAAGGCGGGUCUCUGGGCCGAUACUGACACUGAGAAGCGAAAGCGUGGGGAGCGAACAGG